This is a long non-coding RNA of Sander lucioperca (pikeperch), 262 nucleotides long. RefSeq lists it as uncharacterized. The record is from RefSeq and is a predicted model, not a curated record. NCBI's taxonomy places the organism in Eukaryota, Metazoa, Chordata, Actinopteri, Perciformes, Percidae. The transcript is spliced from 3 exons.
UACUGCAUGAUGUCUUAGGAGUUGUGCUACUAUUCACAGCUCCAUGAUUUGUCUUCUGAUGACAUCAAUAGUCUCGUUUCGGGUGUUCAGCUGAAGCAGACUGUUUCUCUUCAUACAUUUGAAACAGAUGUUCAAUGUUAUCAAUUUAUUAAACAAUAAAUAUAAAUGUGUUCUAAAGGAAAGUGUCCUGAGUAGUCAUUGAUCAAAUUGUAUUAAAAUCAUUUUUUUCAAAUUUGAUUAACUAUACAUACAACAGACAACA